RNAcentral lists this microRNA precursor (115 nucleotides) under Marmota monax (woodchuck). Lineage: Eukaryota; Metazoa; Chordata; Mammalia; Rodentia; Sciuridae. The record is from RNAcentral.
UAAUCUAAAUCAAAGUCUUGGUCUCCUAAAGGAGUUUUGUGUGUGUGUAGGUAUAUUUGACUGAUUACCCUUCACACACACACAUACCUCCUUUAGGAGACCAAGACUUUGAUUU